RNAcentral lists this transfer RNA (75 nucleotides) under Caloramator mitchellensis. Its description in RNAcentral is "tRNA-Glu". It matches the Rfam family "tRNA". From Rfam's summary of the family: Transfer RNA (tRNA) molecules are approximately 80 nucleotides in length. Their secondary structure includes four short double-helical elements and three loops (D, anti-codon, and T loops). The record is from RNAcentral. Lineage: Bacteria; Bacillati; Bacillota; Clostridia; Eubacteriales; Clostridiaceae. RNAcentral also lists the same sequence under 6 other names.
GGCCCCUUGGUCAAGUGGUUAAGACAUCGCCCUUUCACGGCGGUAACAGGGGUUCGAAUCCCCUAGGGGUCACCA